AUAACUCAAGAACGCAUACGCCUAGGAUCAUGAAACUUCAUGGGUAGAUUGAUCAUGACUCGCAAAUGACCCCUAUUGAUUUUGAGGUCACUAGGUCAAAGGUCAAGGUCACAGUGACCCGAAAUAGUAAAAUGGUUUCCGGAUGAUAACUCAAGAACGCUUAGGCCUAGGAUCAUGAAACUUGAUAGGUAGAUUGAUUAUGACUCGCAGAUGACCCCUAUUGAUUUUCAGGUCACUAGGUCAAAGGUCAAGGUCACAGUGACCCAAAAUAGUAAAAUGGUUUCCGGAUGAUAACUCAAGAACGCUUAUGCCUAGGAUCAUGAAACUUGGUAGGUAGAUUGAUAAUGGCUGGCAGAUGACCCCUAUUGAUUUUCAGUUCACUAGGUCAAAGGUCAAGGUCAUGGUGACCCGAAAAAGUAAAAUGGUUUCCAGAUGAUAACUCAAGAACGCUUAUGCCUAGGAUCAUGAAACUUCAUAGGUACAUUGAUCAUGACUCGCAGAUGAACCCUAUUGAUUUUCAGGUCACAAGGUCAAAGGUCAAGGUCACGGUGACCCGAAAUAGUAAAAUUGUUUCCGGAUGAUAACUCAAGAACGCUUAUGCCUAGGAUCAUGAAACUUGAUAGGUAGAUUGAUAAUCACUCGCAGUUGACCCCUAUUGAUUUUGAGGUCACUAGGUCAAAGGUCAAGGUCAUGGUGACCUAAAAUAGUAAAAUGGUUUCCGGAUUAUAACUCAAGAACGCUUAUGCGUAGGAUCAUGAAACUUCAUAGGUACAUUGAUCAUGACUCGCAGAUGACCCCUAUCCAUUUUGAGGUCACUAGGUCAAAGGUCAAGUUCACGGUGGCCUGAAAUAGUAAAAUGGUUUCCUAAAAUGGUUUCCGGAUGAAAACUGAAGAACGCUUAUUCCUAGGAUCAUGAAACUUGAUAGGUAGAUUGAUCAUGACUCACAGAUGACCCCUAUUGAU
Dreissena polymorpha is the source of this 963-nucleotide long non-coding RNA. RefSeq lists it as uncharacterized. The record is from RefSeq and is a predicted model, not a curated record. Lineage: Eukaryota; Metazoa; Mollusca; Bivalvia; Myida; Dreissenidae. The transcript is spliced from 3 exons.